GAGCAAAAACCAAUUGUUUAGGUCUUGUUACACCCCAAUCAUUAGUUGACAACUCCUAAUUGAUCAUAUACCAUUUGAUUGGAGACCCUAUCAAUGUCUAUAUUCGGUAUGACAUUAUAACUUUUAACCUCGUUGAUCCUCCUCUAGUCAUCUUUCAAACCGUCUUUGUAACACCCAAGUGUUUUUUUUUUCUUAAUUU
Molecule: long non-coding RNA, 199 nt
Filed under: Carica papaya (papaya)
Lineage: Eukaryota; Viridiplantae; Streptophyta; Magnoliopsida; Brassicales; Caricaceae
Description: long non-coding RNA (CPAP_LNC008412)
Source: RNAcentral